Long non-coding RNA from Loxodonta africana (African savanna elephant), 966 nucleotides. RefSeq lists it as uncharacterized. NCBI's taxonomy places the organism in Eukaryota, Metazoa, Chordata, Mammalia, Proboscidea, Elephantidae. The transcript has 3 exons. The record is from RefSeq and is a predicted model, not a curated record.
AACCAGUUCCAGAGCAAAGAGGAGGAUUCAACUCCCAUCAAGGAAGAACAGCCAAGAGCCGAGCGUAUAUUAUGGACCUGAGAUCCCUGCACUGAGAAGCUCCUAGAAGCAGGAGACUGAGAUAGAGAGAGGAAGCUGUAACCCUGAAGAUGCUUAAAUACAGACCAGAAGAGGAGUUUGGGGCUUGACACCUGACGUCUUAACACCAGUUCCUGUUUCUUGAGGAAGGAAGAGGUAAAAUAAAUCAGCGUUUACUGUUUCCUUCUCCAUCCCCGGAAGUCCUGAUGAAGACCCUCUCAGCUUCAACUUGAACGUGAAUAUGAGCAACUGAUCAUCUGUUCUGCAGUCAGCCCCUGGCCUGAUUCUGACUCAUGAUAUUGACCAAGUGAAGAGUGAUUCAGAGAAAAACAUGGGUAGAGUGUGACCUAAUUUCCAUAAAAACAAACAAAUGAAUGUACUUACAUGUGUCCCGGCAAAAAGAAGUGUGUAAAAGGGUACAUAUGUAUCUUUGGACACUGGACACUUCAGGGGAGCAGGUACAAUAUACUUAUGUGGGGAUGGCUCUUAUUAUAACUUCUAUAUACAAAUCUCUAUUGUUAAAUGUGUUAUAAGAAUGUAAAAGCUUUUAAAGUUUAAUAACAUCAUACGUGUAUGUGUGUGUAUUUGAAACUUUUUUUCUUUUGACUAUUUUAUAUAUGUGUUUUUUAGUUAUCUAGUUUUUUUUUUAGUGUGGCUAUAGCAGAGAUACCACAAGUGGAUGGCUUUAACAAACAGAAACUUAUUCUCUCACAGUUUAAGAAGCAACAAGUUUGAAGUCAGGGCACCAGGUCUAGGAGAAAGCUUUCUCUCUUUGUGGCUCUGGGGGAAGGUCCUUGUCAUCUAUCUUCCCCUGGCCUAGGAAAUUCUCAGCGCGUGGACGCUGGGUCAAAAAGACGUGCUCCACUCCAGGCACUUCUUCCUUGGUGG